This is a long non-coding RNA of Seriola aureovittata, 552 nucleotides long. RefSeq lists it as uncharacterized. NCBI's taxonomy places the organism in Eukaryota, Metazoa, Chordata, Actinopteri, Carangiformes, Carangidae. The transcript has 5 exons. The record is from RefSeq and is a predicted model, not a curated record.
GCUUUUUCAGCUCCAGCCUUUGCUCUAAGGCUUCCAUGCCAUCUUUCCCCUGCUGUGAUGCCAGGAAGAUGAAGAAUCGCUGCCAUUUCACCAGGAUCUCUGAGAAUUGGAGCUUUUAAAAAACAAGCAUGAUUGCCUACCAGAAACUGAGGUCGUCCUAGAGCAGUCAUUUUGAUGGCAGAGAAACCGUCCAUUGAACUUCCACCUACAGCGGAUACACAUGAGCUGCAUUAGAAGGAAUGCAAGAGGACAAAGUGAGUUAAUGUGCCCUGACUUUGGGGCAAUAUUAGAAAUAUCAUUGGAGUGGCUGUCAAAAGCUGCUGUCUGAGAUCAAGCUGACUUAAUAUGCCUUGUCCUCCACCCUUACAGUUUGAAGGUGUAUGUUCGGCAAACAAAAGCUUUCUAGGCUCAGUCGAGAACAGAGCCGACGCCGAAGGCCUGAUUCUUCUGGAUCAGCGGCCUGAUGGCCCUGUGAUCUUCCCCAGCUACAAACUGACCAUAAAAUGUCAUCUUCAUGAACUGGUCGAAAGCUCUCCGGCCCAGGAUCUUCUU